Molecule: ribosomal RNA, 497 nt
Filed under: uncultured bacterium
Lineage: Bacteria
Description: partial 16S ribosomal RNA
Rfam family: Bacterial small subunit ribosomal RNA
Source: RNAcentral
GAUGAACGCUGGCGGCGUGCCUAACACAUGCAAGUCGAGCGAACAGACGAGGAGUUUGCUCCUCUGACGUUAGCGGCGGACGGGUGAUUAACACGUGGAUAACCUACCUAUAAGACUGGGAUAACUUCGGGAAACCGGAUCUAAUACCGGACAAUAUAUUGAACCUCAUGGUUCAAUAGUGAAAUACGGUUUUGCUGACACUAAUAGAUGGUUCCGAGCCGCAUUAGCUAGUUGGUAAGGUAACGGCUUACCAAGGCAACGAUGCGUAGCCGACCUGAGAGGGUGAUCGGCCACACUGGAACUGAGACACGGUCCAGACUCCUACGGGAGGCAGCAGUAGGGAAUCUUCCGCAAUGGGCGAAAGCCUGACGGAGCAACGCCGCGUGAGUGAUGAAGGUCUUCGGAUCGUAAAACUCUGUUAUUAGGGAAGAACGAAUGUGUAAGUAACUAUGCACGUCUUGACGGUACCUAAACAAAAAGCCACGGCUAACUACGUG